GAUGAACGCUGGCUACAGGCUUAACACAUGCAAGUCGAGGGGAAACGCCGGGGAAGCUUGCUUCCCCGGGCGUCGACCGGCGCACGGGUGAGUAACGCGUAUCCAACCUGCCUCUGACUGAGGGAUAACCCGUCGAAAGUCGGCCUAAUACCUCAUGGUAUCGUCUGCGGGCAUCCAACGACGAUUAAAGAUUUCAUCGGUCAGGGAUGGGGAUGCGUCUGAUUAGCUUGUUGGCGGGGUAACGGCCCACCAAGGCUACGAUCAGUAGGGGUUCUGAGAGGAAGGUCCCCCACAUUGGAACUGAGACACGGUCCAAACUCCUACGGGAGGCAGCAGUGAGGAAUAUUGGUCAAUGGGCGAGAGCCUGAACCAGCCAAGUAGCGUGCAGGAAGACGGCCCUAUGGGUUGUAAACUGCUUUUAUGCGGGGAUAAAGUGAGGGACGGGUCCCUCAUUGCAGGUACCGCAUGAAUAAGAACCGGCUAAUUCCGUG
This 491-nucleotide ribosomal RNA is filed under the name uncultured bacterium. Its description in RNAcentral is "partial 16S ribosomal RNA". It matches the Rfam family "Bacterial small subunit ribosomal RNA", at positions 28 to 507 of the family's 1533-position model. The record is from RNAcentral.